Long non-coding RNA from Ictidomys tridecemlineatus (thirteen-lined ground squirrel), 685 nucleotides. RefSeq lists it as uncharacterized. The record is from RefSeq and is a predicted model, not a curated record. Lineage: Eukaryota; Metazoa; Chordata; Mammalia; Rodentia; Sciuridae.
ACGCAGACUACAAUUCCCAGUCGGCUCUGCGCUACUCUUCUGCGCGCGAGUGCGGUCCGGUGCCGAGCAUGGGGUGUGCGGGCUUCGUCGCUGUUAACCCUCUAGGGGCAACCAACAGCGUCCUUCUAAAGAGGGCGCCUGUUGAGAGACAAGAAGCGAAAAUCCUAAAGGAAAUCAGACGCAGGGAUAUCCACUAGAUCGCCGGCUGCAAGAUCCGAGAGGCCCCAAACAUCCCAAAGCCGCAGAGUUUUCUCCGACCUCUGAUGUGCUGAAAGAUUCUGGCGAUCGCUGGUAGAUUCCGGAGACCAGACCCACAGACCGACCUCGAAUCCGUAGACUUGCAGGCAAAGCCCAGGAAUCAUUGGCUGAUCCCGAAGACCUCCGUGAAACCACAGGCUCAUAGGCACAUCUCCGAGGCCAAGACAACCGGCCAAGAAAACCCACUGCCAGCUAAGCUGCGUUCAGCUGGAGCUCCUCCGAACGGACCGACUUGCAGCCUUCCCUUUCCCCAGCUAGGAUGAGGGAAUUAGACAAUGGAAGUCGAGCACUAGGCAAAGCAGGCAUUCUGCAUGGGGAAGAGCUCCGAGCUCUCUGUAGCCUUGGAGAGGGAAGUGAUGGAAAAAGAAUAUAGCAGCUUAUUAGGGACUCCCACCCUCUUCAAGUUAUAAAUAUCCCCAGAACCUUG